RNAcentral lists this ribosomal RNA (253 nucleotides) under uncultured bacterium. RNAcentral describes it as "partial 16S ribosomal RNA". It matches the Rfam family "Bacterial small subunit ribosomal RNA", at positions 524 to 776 of the family's 1533-position model. The record is from RNAcentral.
UACGUAGGGGGCGAGCGUUGUCCGGAUUCAUUGGGCGUAAAGAGCUCGUAGGCGGCUGCUCAAGUCGAAUGUGAAAACUCGAGGCUCAACCUCGAGCCUGCAUUCGAUACUGGGCGGCUAGAGUCUGGUAGGGGGAUCUGGAAUUCCUGGUGUAGCGGUGAAAUGCGCAGAUAUCAGGAAGAACACCCGUGGCGAAGGCGGCUCUCUGGGACGGUACUGACGCUGAGGCGCGAAAGCUAGGGGAGCAAACGGG